AGUGGCGCACGGGUGAGUAACGCGUGGAUAACCUGCCCUGGUAUCCGGAAUAACAUCUCGAAAGGGGUGCUAAUACCGGAUAAGCCCACGGGAUCUUCGGAUUCUGCGGGAAAAGGUGGCCUCUAUUUAUAAGCUACCGUAUCAGGAUGGGUCCGCGUACCAUUAGCUAGUUGGUGAGGUAAUGGCCCMCCAAGGCUACGAUGGGUAGCUGGUCUGAGAGGAUGAUCAGCCACACUGGAACUGAGACACGGUCCAGACUCCUACGGGAGGCAGCAGUGGGGAAUAUUGCGCAAUGGCCGAAAGGCUGACGCAGCGACGCCGCGUGUGGGAUGACGGUCUUCGGAUUGUAAACCACUGUCGGGAGGGACGAAUACCGGGAAACCGGGGUGACGGUACCUCCAAAGGAAGCACCGGCUAACUCCGUGCCAGCAGCCGCGGUAAUAC
RNAcentral lists this ribosomal RNA (444 nucleotides) under uncultured Geobacter sp. Its description in RNAcentral is "bacterial SSU rRNA". It matches the Rfam family "Bacterial small subunit ribosomal RNA", at positions 94 to 526 of the family's 1533-position model. The record is from RNAcentral. Lineage: Bacteria; Pseudomonadati; Thermodesulfobacteriota; Desulfuromonadia; Geobacterales; Geobacteraceae. RNAcentral also lists the same sequence under 1 other name.